GCCCAGGAUGCGGCAUUCUUCCCUGCAAUGAAAUCCUUCGCUCUGAUCUGGCUCGGGCCCCUGCGAGCCCAUGGAGGGCACGCUGGUGUUGAGCACGUCAUUGACCGCCGUGUCGCAGUAGAGGCCACGCUGCACAUCGUGCUCGCUGUCAGUCUGGUCGCUCUCCUCGUGGCCGCUGUCCUUCAGGCUGUUUCCCUCCAGGUCUUUGAACGUGGAGCUUUUUAUUAAAU
Molecule: long non-coding RNA, 230 nt
Filed under: Gallus gallus (chicken)
Lineage: Eukaryota; Metazoa; Chordata; Aves; Galliformes; Phasianidae
Source: RNAcentral